GAAAAUCAUAUUUUAACAUCUUGUGGACGUGCCGGAGUGGUUAUCGGGCAUGACUAGAAAUCAUGUGGGUUCGCCCGCGCAGGUUCGAAUCCUGCCGUCCACGAAUUCUAGUACUUUUUUCUCUAUAAAUAGACAAGAGCACUGAGGACUUCCUUCCCUUUUCUCUUUUUUUUCCUUCCUCCUGGACUUUCGCAUCUCCUUUCAGCUCUCUCAACGUUCAAAAUCAAGCAUGGAUGGUUUUGUGCCUUCGAUUUCGAUCCAGACAAUUUCCAGCUAAGUCAUGGGAUAUAUUUGUGCCCAUAUAUAUUUGCUAAGCAAGGAACUUCGGUCACAAGCCUCAUCAGGAGCAGUCCUAAAACCCAUCCACAUGUAAGAUCCAUAGUCUGUUCGACGAGGACCAACUGUUCUGUUGUGAUGGGAGAGGUGUUUAUGUUCGGUUAGAGCAUGAAGAAGUACAGUCUGGAGACUGCUCCGCUGCAGGAGGAUUAACUGAUUAAGUAUAAUGUUAAACCUCAAUAGUUUUAGGCAAACCAGGCAAAUUGGUUUUGUACGAGUCCUCACAUCGUUUUUUAUUAUAUAUAUAUAUAUAUAUAGCUUCUUUAAA
Molecule: long non-coding RNA, 604 nt
Organism: Daucus carota subsp. sativus
Lineage: Eukaryota; Viridiplantae; Streptophyta; Magnoliopsida; Apiales; Apiaceae
Exons: 2
Source: RefSeq, a predicted model, not a curated record